This is a long non-coding RNA of Drosophila ananassae, 389 nucleotides long. RefSeq lists it as uncharacterized. The transcript has 2 exons. The record is from RefSeq and is a predicted model, not a curated record. NCBI's taxonomy places the organism in Eukaryota, Metazoa, Arthropoda, Insecta, Diptera, Drosophilidae.
UCUUCUCCACAUUUUUGUAUAAGUCUUCCAGAGCAGGCAGGACUGCUUCGUACAUGAAGAGCUCCACGGAGAAGUCCCCUUUGAUGGGCAGCUUCAAGCCACUGGCUAUAGUCUCCUUCGAUUUGAUCAGUAAUUUAGAGAACCUUUCGAGAAUGCAAGCUGUUAUAUAUGGUUGGUGUUUAUGCUAUUCAGAAAUAUCAAAGACGCAAACCAGUUGAAUAGGAACGGUUCGAAGUGACACAUCAAAGAAGUGUUCCCACAUGAUGUUAACUCAGUAUUUCAAAUAAAAUUUAAAAUUGUAAUGAAAUUAAUUAUUUAAUUAAUGAUAUAAAAAUAUAAAAAAAUGUAAAAGUUUUUUUAUGAAUAUUAAAUACCUCUGCUAACUGUUG